Molecule: ribosomal RNA, 262 nt
Filed under: uncultured prokaryote
Description: partial 16S ribosomal RNA
Rfam family: Bacterial small subunit ribosomal RNA
Source: RNAcentral
UACGGAGGGUGCAAGCGUUAUCCGGAAUCACUGGGCGUAAAGGGCGCGUAGGCGGUCUGUUAAGUCUGGCGUUAAAGCCUGGGGGCUCAACCCCAGAUCAGCGUUGGAUACUGGCAGGCUAGACGGCUGGAGAGGCGAGUGGAAUUACCGGUGUAGCGGUGGAAUGCGUAGAUACUGGUAGGAACACCCAUUGCGAAGGCAGCUCGCUGGACAGCACGUGACGCUGAGGCGCGAAAGUGUGGGGAGCAAACCGGAUUAGAUA